GAUGAACGCUGGCGGCGUGCUUAACACAUGCAAGUCGAACGGGAAACCUUUUAAUGAAGCUUCGGCAGAUUUAGCUGGUUUCUAGUGGCGGACGGGUGAGUAACGCGUGGGUAACCUGCCUUAUACAGGGGGAUAACAGUCAGAAAUGACUGCUAAUACCGCAUAAUCGCACAGGACCGCAUGGUCCGGUGUGAAAAACUCCGGUGGUAUAAGAUGGACCCGCGUUGGAUUAGCUGGGUGGUGGGGUAACGGCUCACCAAGGCGACGUUCCAUAGCCGGCCUGGGAGGGUGGACGGCCACAUCUGAGCUGAGGCACGGACCCGAAUGCUACGGAAGGCAGCAGAGGGGAAUAUUGCACAAUGGAGGAAGCCCUGAUGCAGCGACGCGGCGUGAAGGAAGAAGUAUGUCGGUAAGUGAACUACUAUCAGCAGGGAAGAUAGUGACGGUACCUGACGAAGAAGCCCCGGCUAACUACGUG
This 478-nucleotide ribosomal RNA is filed under the name uncultured bacterium. Its description in RNAcentral is "partial 16S ribosomal RNA". It matches the Rfam family "Bacterial small subunit ribosomal RNA", at positions 28 to 507 of the family's 1533-position model. The record is from RNAcentral.